UAGGGAAUAUUGGGCAAUGGACGCAAGUCUGACCCAGCCAUGCCGCGUGCAGGAAUGACGGCCCUAUGGGUUGUAAACUGCUUUUCUGCGGGAAGAACCCCCCGAUCGUGAUCGGGGCUGACGGUACCGCAGGAAUAAGCAUCGGCUAACUCCGUGCCAGCAGCCGCGGUAAUACGGAGGAUGCAAGCGUUAUCCGGAUUUAUUGGGUUUAAAGGGUGCGCAGGCGGAACAUUAAGUCAGUGGUGAAAGCCCCUCGCUCAACGAGGGAACUGCCAUUGAUACUGUUGUUCUUGAGUUCAGUUGAAGUGGGCGGAAUGUGUCGUGUAGCGGUGAAAUGCAUAGAUAUGACACAGAACUCCGAUCGCGAAGGCAGCUCACUAAGCUGAUACUGACGCUCAUGCACGAAAGCGUGGGGAUCAAACAGG
RNAcentral lists this ribosomal RNA (425 nucleotides) under uncultured bacterium. RNAcentral describes it as "bacterial SSU rRNA". It matches the Rfam family "Bacterial small subunit ribosomal RNA", at positions 355 to 776 of the family's 1533-position model. The record is from RNAcentral.